GGUAUUUACUCGCCUGCGGAUCUGAGCCGGUUAACCAGUAGGAGGAAGCGCUCGUCGAAUGGGAACAAUCAUUUAAAGUAGAACCUAGCGGACCGCUAAUCAGUGCGCCCACCUGCCGAAAUGUAGUGUAUUUCUAACCCUACAGGAUCUGAGAAGAAUACUGAGAAGAGCGGACCUGAGACCUGUUCCCAGAAUUAGAGCAUUUUAGGAAUCGAGCUCAACUGUGAAUAUAUGGCGAUGCAGAAUAGGGAGAUAGAGCCACAACAUUGUGAAACAAUACUUACUGAAACAUCCAGGGGAAGAAAUAAGAGGAUAGGAUUGGCCUGUUUUAAUCUGCCGAGUGCGAAGUAUAGAGAGUGAUUUCGCUCUAUAGUGUUUCCUUCAGGCAAAGGGUUAUUGUGUGGUUCAGAUGUCAUAAUGUAUGUGGAAGAGCAGUGCAGGCUACAGUGCUGUAUAAACAAGCCAAGAUUCAGGCAUAGUAGGAAACAUUCCUACCUACCCAGAGGGAACUCACAAUAUUCAAGAGAAAAGUGCUGAAGAACCCCAUUUGUAUUACCCUAAUUUAAGCAAACUUCAGUAUGAAAGUAUAACAGAACACGUUAAUUCUCUGAAUUAACAGAGCACAGCAGGCUGAGACAGACUUGAGGUCAGAGUUCUUAAUAUUUUUGGUGCCACAAACUGCCUUUGCAGUCUAGUGAAACCAUGGACUCAUCUUAGAAUAAUGUUUUUAAAUGUAUAAAAUAAAAUUCAUAGCAUCAUAAAAAAACAUUUUGAAAUAGAGUCUCAAAUAUUAAAGAAAAACAUUUUUGGCAUAGGAAUAUAUGUGUUUUAUUAACACAGUAAGAUCAAAUGAUGGUCUAGUAAAGACCAAAAUUUUGAAAUAAUGAUGAACAUAAAUAUUUUAAGAUUUUGCAACAUUUGUGAUAAAAGUAUUUGUGAUUCCUAUUGGUGACACAGACAUAGAUACAGCUAGUUGUUUGUUGCUUACAUUCAACAUUACAUUCUAAUUUCAGUUAGAGAUUAGUAAAAACAAAGAUGUAAUUUGUGUUUUCAUAUCCAAGUUCACACACACCCUGAUUUCUAUUCAUGAACUAUGUGUUAAAAAACCUUAGGUAGAGUCAAGUAGGCUUAUUCCUUUUGGAAAGCCUUGAAGGUAUUGUGAAAUUUAAAACAGAAUUAAUUCCUAUCCAUAGCAAUAGUGAUUCGUCAAGAAAACAUUUAAUUACCACCAGUAUACUUUCUAUAAGAAGGCAUGUAAUAGGUUUAGGAAAUUGUUUUAUCCAAUAUGUUGAUUUUUUUUUUUUUUUGAGACCUAUAAAGCUACCCUAUGAAAAAUUUACCUAACUAGAACAAUUCAUUUCCCAAGUAUUCUGGGUAACUUAGGUUUUACUAUAUCACUUUUAUUUAUUACACACUGUUACAAAUAAGAUGUGGUAGAAGAAUUGAAAAAUGAGAGUAACAACCAAGGGUGAAAUUAAAAUGUUGCAUAUUUGAAAUUGUUAAAAAUAAGUGUUAAUAAUUAUUAUUUGAAGUACUAUAUGCUGGGUCUUUUAAUUCAUUAUCUCAUCAAAUCCCCAUUAUAUAGAUGAAAUACUCAAGGUCAUAAUUAUUAAGUAGGAAAGCCAGAAUUUAAACCUAGGCAUCCUGACCUCAAAACUCACACUCAACCAUUAAGCUGUUUUUUAGCCCUUUGACUAUUAGCCAACGUUGAUUUGCCCACUAGUACAAUAAAUAUAUAUUCUCUGCCUCAAAUAUUUAUGCAUUCCUUACCAUUCCAAGUAAAAUUCCAACCAGUGACUAAAAGGAAUUUUCUAAAUUCUCUCUUUGCAGCAAUAUUGCUUAUAUUCAACCCCACUUUUAAAUAAGUGGACUGCCAGUUGGUGCUGGAAAAUAUUUUGUUCUACAAAAAAUUUCGUCGUAAUGGAGUUUUGCUUAGAAGAUGAAUAAUCCACUCAUGCCCUUCUCUGUCCUACAAACAUGCAUCUGAAAUUAAACCUUUGUUUUAUAAUGGUGCCACUACUUUAUCAAGAUAGUAUACAAGCAACGAUGACAUGUAAAUGAAUCCUAGUAUGUGAAGUUCUAGAUUAUCCAUGUUUAGUGGAGACAAAUGCUGGUAUAACCCUAAAUUCAUUUCUAUUUGGCACUGAAGUGAAUUUUUUGGUCGAUUAUGCUUUCUGUUUAUUUGUAUUUACACUAGCAAACUUAACAUUUUUGCUCAAUUUUGCUAAGGUUAAAAUUAAAAAGAAUAUGGCCUGGAAGCAUUUUGAAAUUUAAGGAGGUAGCCCAAGAUUAGCUCAGACUUUAAAAUAGUAUUCACAUAUCUAAUGUUAUACAGAAUCCAAUUUAUAAUUACAAGUAAAGGUAAAGUUGACUUUCUUCACUUGACGUAUUUAAUUUACCAUCUGAAAAAAAAGAAAAAUAGUGUUUUUAUAUUGCAUUUUCAAUAUGCUAAAAAGAUUAUGAUUUUAUGUAUUGAAAGAAACAUUAAAAAAUGCAGGUACAAAAUAUUGAAAAGAUAAGCUAAAAGCAAUUUCAUCCUUAAUACUAUAUUUAAAUCUCAAAAACUUUCUAAUUAUGGUAGAUCAGAUUUUCUUGCAUGAAUUUGCAUGAAACAAAAGAAAAUAUAAAAGAUGAAGAAAAUUAGUAUGAAAGUGGCAGUGGUAUAACUAAUCCAAAUAAUGAAGGUGUGCCAAAGUCUUAAUAUGUGAAUGCAUCAUAUGUAUGUGAAGCCACAUAUAAUAGCUUGAGUAUAGGAGUUAAUUAAAAUAUGCUUGUGAAUAAAUAUAGUUAACAUAGAUUAGUACAUAUCUUUGAUAGUAUUUAAUAUUGCAUGUGUUUUCAGACCUUUGUAACUUUCUCAUAGAAUUUUAUAACUUGCUAAAGACAUUAGCUUUAACACAGUGAAUAUCAUUUUAUUAGUUUAAUUAAAUUGUAAAUGCCAUAGUUUAGAUUUUAUAUCCAAAAUGCAUGUUUAUGUAUUCUGCUUGGAGUAGGUAAUUUAGAACAUAAGUCAACCAAAUGUUAUUUGAUAUUGUUUGCAUAAAAAUCAAAUGAGUUUCUGUAUAUUACCAGUUCAGAAGCUCAUUUUUAUGAUCAAGACAAGGUAAUGUGUUUAGGAAACUACUCUUUCAUGAUAAGAAUAUCAUUUUGACCUUAAAUUAAGAUGUUUUUUAGUACAUAAUGACUCAUGCACAAAUGUUUGAGCUAAAAAUAAAUUUGAAUAUUUUCCACGUAAAAACCUGUACACAUGAAUGUUCAGAGUAGCAUUAUUCAUAAUAGCCAAAAGUGGAAACAACCCAAAUGUCCAUCAGCUGAGUGGAUAAAUAAAAUAUGCUAUAUCUAUAUGAUGGAAUAGUAUUAGUUAAUAAGAAUGAGCACAAUACUUCUAUAUGCUACAACAUGUAUCUUGAAGCUUGAAAAUAUUAUUCUAAGUAAAAAAAGCCCGACCAAAAGGCCACAUAUUAUAUGAUUACAUUUAUAUGAAAUGACUGCAAUAGACAAAUCCAUAGAGACAGGAAGUAGAUUACUGACUGCUCAAGGACUAGGGGUUGAGUAAAUGGGAAAUGAAUUCUGAGUUAUAGGGUCUUUUUGAUGGAGAUGAUGCAGUGUUCUAAAACUAGAUAAUUGUAAUAUUUAUACAACUCUGUGAAUAUGUUAAACCCCACUGAAUUGUACACUUUAAAAGAGUGAAUAUUACGGUAUGUGAAUUAUCUCAAUGUACAUUAAAAAAAUUAAUGAGAAUCAAUGUGAAAUUAGUCUGGAAACACUGCUAAAUAUUUUCAACAUCUCGUAAUACUCUUCAGGUUACCAGUAAUAAAUGAGAUGUAGCAUCUUUGUAAAAUGUGAAAAAUUUACAGCCAGGAAGAGGCUUUUCCUUCAGUUCAAACAAAGCAGUUUAAUUUAGUUUUACUAUAAUAAUAAGCAUUUGUUGUCUAUUAGUCUUAAAUUUGGAGUUAUUUUCAUCAGUAUUAUUUGUUUAAUAAAGCAGUGAUUAAAAAUUUAAACAACA
Pteropus alecto (black flying fox) is the source of this 4009-nucleotide long non-coding RNA. RefSeq lists it as uncharacterized. The record is from RefSeq and is a predicted model, not a curated record. The transcript has 4 exons. Lineage: Eukaryota; Metazoa; Chordata; Mammalia; Chiroptera; Pteropodidae.